GCUGGGCGUGGUGGCACGCGCCUGUAAUCCCAGCUACUUGGAGGCUGAGGCAGGAGAAUCGCUUGAACCCAGGAGGCGGAGGUUGCAGUGAGCCGAGAUCUCGCCACUGCACUCCAGCCUGGGCGACAGAGCUAGACUCCGUCUCAA
This is an unclassified non-coding RNA of Macaca fascicularis (crab-eating macaque), 147 nucleotides long. It matches the Rfam family "Metazoan signal recognition particle RNA". From Rfam's summary of the family: The signal recognition particle (SRP) is a universally conserved ribonucleoprotein. It is involved in the co-translational targeting of proteins to membranes. The eukaryotic SRP consists of a 300-nucleotide 7S RNA and six proteins: SRPs 72, 68, 54, 19, 14, and 9. NCBI's taxonomy places the organism in Eukaryota, Metazoa, Chordata, Mammalia, Primates, Cercopithecidae. The record is from Ensembl.